CACAAGGAACAUUCUUCAACCUUUCUGAUUCUUCAUCCUUUGCGAAUAUUUUGGGUGUCUUUGGCCCAUGGUUCACACUCGCUCUAAGUUUUCCACCACAUCCUUGAACACGACACUUAGCCACAUACAGAGUUUUUGUUGUCUUAUAUGCUGAAAAUGUAAAUUUAUAUUUCACAGUACUUCAGCUUUGAAACAAGCUCAGCCUUACUAGCAAAACUAUAAACGAAGACUUACAAAUACGUCUACAAUUAUUAGCUAACAACAUUGUCAAAUCAAAUGAAUUAUACCUUCAUAAUUAUAAAAAAAAAAUUUUUCAAAAUCACUCAAACCCAUUAGGAUUAACUAAUACACACUGUCA
RNAcentral lists this long non-coding RNA (358 nucleotides) under Brassica rapa (field mustard). RNAcentral describes it as "long non-coding RNA (BRAP_LNC005660)". The record is from RNAcentral. Lineage: Eukaryota; Viridiplantae; Streptophyta; Magnoliopsida; Brassicales; Brassicaceae.